Molecule: non-coding RNA, 54 nt
Organism: Schistosoma rodhaini
Lineage: Eukaryota; Metazoa; Platyhelminthes; Trematoda; Strigeidida; Schistosomatidae
Source: Rfam
AUUCAGUUGACGAGUUCCAAAUAGGACGAAACGCGCGUCAGGUGCUUCCAGGAU